AGUGAACGCUGGCGGUAGGCCUAACACAUGCAAGUCGAACGGCAGCACAGUAAGAGCUUGCUCUUACGGGUGGCGAGUGGCGGACGGGUGAGGAGUACAUCGGAAUCUACUUUUUCGUGGGGGAUAACGUAGGGAAACUUACGCUAAUACCGCAUACGACCUACGGGUGAAAGCAGGGGAUCUUCGGACCUUGCGCGAUUGAAUGAGCCGAUGUCGGAUUAGCUAGUUGGCGGGGUAAAGGCCCACCAAGGCGACGAUCCGUAGCUGGUCUGAGAGGAUGAUCAGCCACACUGGAACUGAGACACGGUCCAGACUCCUACGGGAGGCAGCAGUGGGGAAUCUUGGACAAUGGGCGCAAGCCUGAUCCAGCCAUACCGCGUGAGUGAAGAAGGCCUUCGGGUUGUAAAGCCCUUUUGUUGGGAAAGAACAGCAGCAGGUUAAUACCCCGCUGUUCUGACGGUACCCAAAGAAUAAGCACCGGCUAACUUCGUG
This 492-nucleotide ribosomal RNA is filed under the name uncultured bacterium. Its description in RNAcentral is "partial 16S ribosomal RNA". It matches the Rfam family "Bacterial small subunit ribosomal RNA", at positions 29 to 507 of the family's 1533-position model. The record is from RNAcentral.